This 1694-nucleotide ribosomal RNA is filed under the name Begonia fuchsioides. RNAcentral describes it as "SSU rRNA". It matches the Rfam family "Eukaryotic small subunit ribosomal RNA", at positions 3 to 1474 of the family's 1831-position model. The record is from RNAcentral. Lineage: Eukaryota; Viridiplantae; Streptophyta; Magnoliopsida; Cucurbitales; Begoniaceae.
CCUGGUUGAUCCUGCUAGUACUCAUAUGCUUGUUUCAAAGAUUAAGCCAUGCAUGUGUAAGUAUGAACUAAUUCAAACUGUGAAACUACGAAUGUCUCAUUAAAUCAGUUAUAGUUUGUUUGAUGGUACUUGCUACUCGGAUAACCGUAGUAAUUCUAGAGGUAAUACGUGUAACAAACCCCGACUUCUGGAAGGGACUCAUUUAUUAGAUAAAAGGUCGACACGGACCUAGUCCAUUGCUCUGAUGAUUCAUGAUAACUUGACGGAUCGCACGGCCUUUGUGCUUGCGACGCAUCAUUCAAAUUUCUGCCCUAUCAACUUUCGAUGGUAGGAUAGUGGCCUACUAUGGUGGUGACGGGUGACGGAGAAUUAGGGUUUGAUUCCGGAGAGGGAGCCUGAGAAACGGCUACCACAUCCAAGAAAGGCAGCAGGCGCGUAAAUUACCCAAUCCUGACACGGGGAGGUAGUGACAAUAAAUAACAAUAACGGGCUCUUCGAGUCUUGUAAUUGGAAUAAGUACAAUCUAAAUCCCUUAACAAGGAUCCAUUGGAGGGCAAAGUCUGGUGCUAGCAGCCGCGGUAAUUCCUGCUCAAAUAGUGUAUAUUUAAGUUGUUGUAGUUAAAAAACUCGUAGUUGGAUCUUGGGAUAUGUAUGUCGGUCCGCCUUAUGGUGUGCAUUGUCAGUCGCGUCCUUUCUGCCGACGAUGCAUUCCUGGCCUUAAUUGGCCGGGUCGUUCCUCCAGCGCUGUUAUUUUGAAGAACUUAGAGUGCUCAAAGCAAGCAUUUGCUCUGUAUACAUUAGCAUGGGAUAAUGUCAUAGGAUUUCGAUCCUAUUCUAUUGGCCUUCGGGAUCGGAGUAAUGAUUAACAGGGACAGUCGGGGUCAUUCGUAUUUCAUAGUCAGAGGUGAAAUUCUUGGAUUUAUGAAAGACAAACAGCUGCGAAAGCAUUUGCCAAGGAUUUUUUCACUAAUCAAGAACGAAAGUUGGGGGCUCGAAGACGAUCAGAUACCGUCCUAGUCUCAACCAUAUACGAUGCCGACUAGGGAUCGGCGAAUGUUGCUUAUAGGACAUCGUCGGCACCUUUCUGAGAAAUCAAAGUCUUUGGGUUAUGGGGGGAGUAUGGUCGCAAGGCUGAAACUUAAAGAAUUGAUGAAAGGGAACCGCUAGGAGUGGAGCCUGCGGCUUAAUUUGAGUCAACACGGGGAAACUUACCAGGUCCAGACAUAGGAAGGAUUGACAGACUGAGAGCUCUUUCUUUUUUUGAUAAGUAUGUUUAAAUAAAGAAAAAGCUUUACAAAAGGACGGGAUCGAUUGCGGCCAGGGGGCGGACCUAUGCUUUGACGGGCCAGCCCAACCGCCAUAACCGAGUGCAUGCUGGACAUAUCGGUACCGGGGGUACAAGAUACUUUGGCCGAUUAAGCUACAAAAGAUUCCAAAUUCUCCACAAGUGCUGGGAAAAUUUCGAACAUGAUCUUAAAAACUUUCCUCUUGAUGGAUGCUGCAAGUUGUGUCGGUUGCUGGAAAGUCUUGUCAAAACACCUUGCAUUGCGCGCUAACCAAAGAUGGUAGGUUGUGCAGGCCAUGGUGGUUUUGUAGAUGUUGUCGGAGAAAAGGGCCCUUCGGCCGGAUUUGGUCGUCCAUUUGAGAGCAGUGGCGAUGGUAGUUAGCCGCCGGUGAAUACUGAUUCUUUGUUU